RNAcentral lists this ribosomal RNA (400 nucleotides) under uncultured bacterium. RNAcentral's name for it is "bacterial SSU rRNA". It matches the Rfam family "Bacterial small subunit ribosomal RNA", at positions 27 to 443 of the family's 1533-position model. The record is from RNAcentral.
GAUUGAACGCUGGCGGCAGGCCUAACACAUGCAAGUCGAACGGUAAAACAGCUUGCUGUUUACGAGUGGCGGACGGGUGAGUAAUGUCUGGGAAACUGCCUGAUGGAGGGGGAUAACUACUGGAAACGGUAGCUAAUACCGCAUAAUGUCGCAAGACCAAAGAGGUUCGUCUUGCCAUCGGAUGUGCCCAGAUGGGAUUAGCUAGUAGGUGGGGUAACGGCUCACCUAGGCGACGAUCCCUAGCUGGUCUGAGAGGAUGACCAGCCACACUGGAACUGAGACACGGUCCAGACUCCUACGGGAGGCAGCAGUGGGGAAUAUUGCACAAUGGGCGCAAGCCUGAUGCAGCCAUGCCGCGUGUAUGAAGAAGGCCUUCGGGUUGUAAAGUACUUUCAGCGGG